UGGGGAAUAUUGCACAAUGGGCGCAAGCCUGAUGCAGCCAUGCCGCGUGUAUGAAGAAGGCCUUCGGGUUGUAAAGUACUUUCAGUCGUGAGGAAGGCAUUAAAGUUAAUAGCUUUAGUGUUUGACGUUAGCGACAGAAGAAGCACCGGCUAACUCCGUGCCAGCAGCCGCGGUAAUACGGAGGGUGCGAGCGUUAAUCGGAAUUACUGGGCGUAAAGCGCAUGCAGGUGGUUUGUUAAGUCAGAUGCGAAAAGCCCGGGGCUCAACCUCGGAACCGCAUUUGAAACUGGCAGGCUAGAGUACUGUAGAGGGGGUAGAAUUUCAGGUGUAGCGGUGAAAUGCGUAGAGAU
Molecule: ribosomal RNA, 350 nt
Filed under: uncultured bacterium
Lineage: Bacteria
Description: bacterial SSU rRNA
Rfam family: Bacterial small subunit ribosomal RNA
Source: RNAcentral